CCCUUAGAUGUCCGGGGCUGCACGCGCGCUACACUGGAGGAAUCAGCGUGCUAAAACCAUUGUCGAAAGGCAUUGGUAAACCCAUUAAAAUCCUACGUGAUUGGGAUCGGGAAUUGCAAUUAUUUCCCUUGAACGAGGAAUUCCCAGUAAGUGUGGGUCAUAAGCUCGCGUUGAUUACGUCCCUGCCCUUUGUACACACCGCCCGUCGCUGCCCGGGACUGAGCCGUUUCGAGAAAAGCGGGGACUGCUGCUGUCGGGGCUUUCGGGCCUUGGCUUCGGUGGAAACCGCUUUAAUCGCAGUGGCUUGAACCGGGCAAAAGUCGUAACA
Molecule: ribosomal RNA, 328 nt
Filed under: uncultured eukaryote
Lineage: Eukaryota
Description: partial 18S ribosomal RNA
Rfam family: Eukaryotic small subunit ribosomal RNA
Source: RNAcentral